UACGUAGGGUGCAAGCGUUGUCCGGAAUUAUUGGGCGUAAAGAGCUCGUAGGCGGUCUGUCGCGUCGGCUGUGAAAACCCGGAGCUCAACUCCGGGCCUGCAGUCGAUACGGGCAAACUGGAGUGUUGCAGGGGAGACUGGAAUUCCUGGUGUAGCGGUGAAAUGCGCAGAUAUCGGGAGGAACACCGGUGGCGAAGGCGGUUCUCUGGGCCUGUACUGACGCUGAGGAGCGAAAGCGUGGGGAGCGAACAGG
This 253-nucleotide ribosomal RNA is filed under the name uncultured bacterium. Its description in RNAcentral is "partial 16S ribosomal RNA". It matches the Rfam family "Bacterial small subunit ribosomal RNA", at positions 524 to 776 of the family's 1533-position model. The record is from RNAcentral.